RNAcentral lists this ribosomal RNA (301 nucleotides) under uncultured bacterium. RNAcentral's name for it is "partial 16S ribosomal RNA". It matches the Rfam family "Bacterial small subunit ribosomal RNA", at positions 509 to 807 of the family's 1533-position model. The record is from RNAcentral.
CAGUAGCCACGGUAAUACGUAGGGUGCAAGCGUUAAUCGGAAUUACUGGGCGUAAAGCGUGCGCAGGCGGUUUGUUAAGACAGAUGUGAAAUCCCCGGGCUCAACCUGGGAACUGCAUUUGUGACUGGCAAGCUAGAGUGUGGCAGAGGGGGGUGGAAUUCCGCGUGUAGCAGUGAAAUGCGUAGAUAUGCGGAGGAACACCGAUGGCGAAGGCAGCCCCCUGGGCCAACACUGACGCUCAUGCACGAAAGCGUGGGGAGCAAACAGGAUUAGAUACCCCUGUAGUCCCUGUCUCUUAUAC